UACGGGGGGAGCAAGCGUUGUUCGGAUUUACUGGGCGUAAAGGGCGCGUAGGCGGCGCAAUAAGUCACUUGUGAAAUCUCCGGGCUUAACUCGGAAAGGUCAAGUGAUACUGUUGUGCUAGAGUGCGGAAGGGGCAACUGGAAUUCUCGGUGUAGCGGUGAAAUGCGUAGAUAUCGAGAGGAACACCUGAGGCGAAGGCGGGUUGCUGGGCCGACACUGACGCUGAUGCGCGAAAGCCAGGGGAGCGAACGGG
Molecule: ribosomal RNA, 253 nt
Filed under: uncultured bacterium
Lineage: Bacteria
Description: partial 16S ribosomal RNA
Rfam family: Bacterial small subunit ribosomal RNA
Source: RNAcentral